GUGCUCACUUCAGCAGAACAUAAGCUAAAACUGGAAUGAUACAGAGAAGAUUAGCAUGAUCCCUGCAAAAGGAAGAAAUGCAAAUUCGUGAAGUGUUCCAUAUUUUU
Molecule: small nuclear RNA, 107 nt
Filed under: Carlito syrichta (Philippine tarsier)
Lineage: Eukaryota; Metazoa; Chordata; Mammalia; Primates; Tarsiidae
Source: RNAcentral